AUUGAACGCUGGCGGCAUGCUUUACACAUGCAAGUCGAACGGUAACAGGCCGCAAGGUGCUGACGAGUGGCGAACGGGUGAGUAAUGCAUCGGAACGUGCCCAGUCGUGGGGGAUAACUACUCGAAAGAGUAGCUAAUACCGCAUACGAUCUAUGGAUGAAAGCGGGGGACCGUAAGGCCUCGCGCGAUUGGAGCGGCCGAUGUCAGAUUAGGUAGUUGGUGGGGUAAAGGCUCACCAAGCCAACGAUCUGUAGCUGGUCUGAGAGGACAACGAGCCACACUGGAACUGAGACACGGCCCAGACUCCUACGGGAGGCAGCAGUGGGGAAUGUUGGACAAUGGGCGCAAGCCUGAUCCAGCAAUGCCGCGUGCAGGAAGAAGGCCUUCGGGUUGUAAACUGCUUUUGUACGGAACGAAACGGCUCUGGUUAAUACCCGGGGCUAAUGACGGUACCGUAAGAAUAAGCACCGGCUAACUACGUG
RNAcentral lists this ribosomal RNA (482 nucleotides) under uncultured bacterium. RNAcentral describes it as "partial 16S ribosomal RNA". It matches the Rfam family "Bacterial small subunit ribosomal RNA", at positions 30 to 507 of the family's 1533-position model. The record is from RNAcentral.